Molecule: ribosomal RNA, 638 nt
Filed under: uncultured bacterium
Lineage: Bacteria
Description: bacterial SSU rRNA
Rfam family: Bacterial small subunit ribosomal RNA
Source: RNAcentral
UGAAGCAGAGGACAGUGGCGGACGGGUGAGUAACGCGUGAGGAACCUGCCUUUCAGAGGGGGACAACAGUUGGAAACGACUGCUAAUACCGCAUGACACAUUGAGGUCGCAUGGCCUUAAUGUCAAAGAUUUAUCGCUGAAAGAUGGCCUCGCGUCUGAUUAGCUAGUCGGUGAGGUAACGGCCCACCAAGGCGACGAUCAGUAGCCGGACUGAGAGGUUGAACGGCCACAUUGGGACUGAGAUACGGCCCAGACUCCUACGGGAGGCAGCAGUGGGGAAUAUUGGGCAAUGGGCGCAAGCCUGACCCAGCAACGCCGCGUGAAGGAAGAAGGCUUUCGGGUUGUAAACUUCUUUUGUCAGGGACGAGUAGAAGACGGUACCUGACGAAUAAGCCACGGCUAACUACGUGCCAGCAGCCGCGGUAAUACGUAGGUGGCAAGCGUUGUCCGGAUUUACUGGGUGUAAAGGGCGUGUAGCCGGGAGGGCAAGUCAGAUGUGAAAUCCACGGGCUUAACUCGUGAACUGCAUUUGAAACUGUUUUUCUUGAGUAUCGGAGAGGCAAUCGGAAUUCCUAGUGUAGCGGUGAAAUGCGUAGAUAUUAGGAGGAACACCAGUGGCGAAGGCGGAUUGCUGGACG